UAGGGAAUAUUGGACAAUGGGUGAGAGCCUGAUCCAGCCAUGCCGCGUGCAGGAAGAAGGCGUUAUGCGUUGUAAACUGCUUUUGCCAGGGGAUAAAAAGACCGUGCGCGGUUAAUUGAAGGUACCUGGUGAAUAAGCCACGGCUAACUACGUGCCAGCAGCCGCGGUAAUACGUAGGUGGCAAGCGUUGUCCGGAUUUAUUGGGUUUAAAGGGUGCGUAGGUGGCCCUGUAAGUCAGUGGUGAAAUAUCUCAGCUUAACUGAGAGGGUGCCAUUGAUACUGCAGGGCUUGAGUACAGAUGAGGUAGGCGGAAUUGACGGUGUAGCGGUGAAAUGCAUAGAUAUCGUCAAGAACACCGAUAGCGAAGGCAGCUUACUAGACUGUAACUGACGCUGAGGCACGAAAGUGUGGGGAUCAAACAGGAUUAGAUACCCCCGUAGUCCCUGAGCGGGCUGGCAAGGCGCAU
This 466-nucleotide ribosomal RNA is filed under the name uncultured bacterium. RNAcentral describes it as "bacterial SSU rRNA". It matches the Rfam family "Bacterial small subunit ribosomal RNA", at positions 355 to 825 of the family's 1533-position model. The record is from RNAcentral.